GCGCACCAGUCGCGAAACUUUACAAUGUGCGAAAGCACGAUAAGGGAACUCUGAGUGCCUCCUAAGGAGGCUGUUCAGGUGUCUAAAAGCACCUGGAGUAAGGGCUGGGUAAGACCGGUGCCAGCCGCCGCGGUAACACCGGCAGCCAGGUGGUAGCCACUUUUAUUGGGUCUAAAGCGUCCGUAGCCGGUUGAGUAAGUUCCUUGGGAAAUUUGGCUGCUCAACAGUCAAGCUUCCAGGGAAUACUGCUCGACUUGGGACUGGGAGAGGUCAGAGGUACUCCAGGGGUAGGGUGAAAGUCCAUUAAUCCCUGGGGGACCACCGGUAGCGAAGGCGUCUGACCAGACCAGGUCCGACGGUGAGGGACGAAGGCUAGGGUCGCGAACCGGAUUAGAUACCCCUGUAGU
Molecule: ribosomal RNA, 407 nt
Filed under: uncultured microorganism
Description: bacterial SSU rRNA
Rfam family: Archaeal small subunit ribosomal RNA
Source: RNAcentral